RNAcentral lists this ribosomal RNA (544 nucleotides) under uncultured fungus. Its description in RNAcentral is "eukaryotic LSU rRNA". The stretch from base 186 to 339 matches the Rfam family "5.8S ribosomal RNA". Lineage: Eukaryota; Fungi. The record is from RNAcentral.
CGUAACAAGGUUUCCGUAGGUGAACCUGCGGAAGGAUCAUUACCUAGAGUUUGUAGACUUCGGUCUGCUACCUCUUACCCAUGUCUUUUGAGUACCUUCGUUUCCUCGGCGGGUCCGCCCGCCGAUUGGACAACAUUCAAACCCUUUGCAGUUGCAAUCAGCGUCUGAAAAAACAUAAUAGUUACAACUUUCAACAACGGAUCUCUUGGUUCUGGCAUCGAUGAAGAACGCAGCGAAAUGCGAUAAGUAGUGUGAAUUGCAGAAUUCAGUGAAUCAUCGAAUCUUUGAACGCACAUUGCGCCCCUUGGUAUUCCAUGGGGCAUGCCUGUUCGAGCGUCAUUUGUACCUUCAAGCUCUGCUUGGUGUUGGGUGUUUGUCUCGCCUCUGCGUAUAGACUCGCCUUAAAACAAUUGGCAGCCGGCGUAUUGAUUUCGGAGCGCAGUACAUCUCGCGCUUUGCACUCAUAACGACGACGUCCAAAAGUACAUUUUUACACUCUUGACCUCGGAUCAGGUAGGGAUACCCGCUGAACUUAAGCAUAUCA